CUCGUCAAAUCGUGGAAGAAGAUGGGACAGACUGCAGGAUGCGAGAUGGGGCCUCCACGUGAAAAGUAACUACAAAACAGAACCAGAAAAUAGUCAUGCUGUUCAAACAUUACACUCCAAGAAAAGAAACUCUAGUGUAUAACAGAGGGGCUCUGUCAAAAUUUAACAACAUAAAUAUUGGGCAAAUGAAGUUGUUUCUCUGGUGCUAUCUCAACCUGCCAAUGGAGAAAUAUCUCAAAAAGUCAAGAAUUGAAGCCAUUACUCAGAGACAGCAUCCUAUGGCAUGGUGAUCCAAAACAAGUACACCUCUACCUUUUCCCUUUCAGCCCCAAACCCCAAAACACUGGAGAAUAUUGGGGCAGGCAAGGCCCGUGAAUAGGUGAGCAGAGCUGGAAGAAGAGACUCCUGCCCCUGGUGGGCCUCAGGCUAUUUGUGGAAUGAUGUUUGUGAGAUGAACAUGUUCGCUCCCUCACCCGGAUGUUUUGGACAUAGGAGCCUGGAGUAAAGAGUGUAUAUCUUGG
Molecule: long non-coding RNA, 521 nt
Filed under: Homo sapiens (human)
Lineage: Eukaryota; Metazoa; Chordata; Mammalia; Primates; Hominidae
Description: non-protein coding lnc-IGFBP2-8:3
Source: RNAcentral